GUGGCUGUGGUUCAGCGGUAGAGCACUUGUUUCGCAUGUGUGAGGCCCUGAGUUCAAUCCUCAGCACCACA
RNAcentral lists this transfer RNA (71 nucleotides) under Ictidomys tridecemlineatus (thirteen-lined ground squirrel). RNAcentral describes it as "Spermophilus tridecemlineatus (thirteen-lined ground squirrel) tRNA". It matches the Rfam family "tRNA". From Rfam's summary of the family: Transfer RNA (tRNA) molecules are approximately 80 nucleotides in length. Their secondary structure includes four short double-helical elements and three loops (D, anti-codon, and T loops). Lineage: Eukaryota; Metazoa; Chordata; Mammalia; Rodentia; Sciuridae. The record is from Rfam by way of RNAcentral.